RNAcentral lists this ribosomal RNA (1473 nucleotides) under oral metagenome. Its description in RNAcentral is "bacterial SSU rRNA". The stretch from base 361 to 1473 matches the Rfam family "Bacterial small subunit ribosomal RNA". The record is from RNAcentral.
GGAUUUUAUUUGUGGUAUAAUUUUCAAACCAUGGGUAAAAUUGAAACUUACAAGGACUUAGAAAUCUAUCAAAAGUCUUACCAAAUAGCCUUGAGUAUUCACAAGGAAACUUUAAGUUUUCCAUUUCCUGAUAAAAUGGAACUGGGCAGUCAAAUGCGCAGGGCAUCAAAAUCCAUUCCAGCCAACAUUGCGGAAGGAUUUGCUAGGCGAAAGUUUAAGAAGGAAUACUUGAGAUACUUGGGAAUGGCAAAAGCAUCCGGUGAUGAGAUGCAAGUGCAUUUGCAAUUUUCCUUGGACUUAGGUUAUUUGACUAACGAUCAAUAUGAUAAAUAUUCAGAAGAGUAUAUUGUAAUCGGAAAGCAGAUAUCGACUUUAAUUAAAGUCUGGUUGAGUUUCUGAUUGACAAUAAAUCUAUGUAACCUAGCAAUCCAAUUACCAUUGAUAUUACCAGAGGAAUCAGAGGUUGCUAACUCUGUGCCAGCAGCAGCGGUAAUACAGAGACCUCAAGCGUUAUCCGGAUUUAUUGGGCGUAAAGCGUGAGCAGGCGGCUUAUAGAGUUAAGUAGAGGUAAAUGGAACUCAUGGUGUAGCAGUGAAAUGCGUUGAUAUCAUGGGGAACACCAAAGGCGAAGGCAAUUUACUGGACUUUAACUGACGCUCAGUCACGAAAGCGUGGGUAGCGAACGGGAUUAGAUACCCCGGUAGUCCACGCCCUAAACGAUGCACACUCGUUGUUGGGAGAUUCGACCCUUUCAGCAACUAAGCUAACGCGUUAAGUGUGCCGCCUGGGAAGUACGGUCGCAAGACUAAAACUCAAAGGAAUAGACGGGGAUCCGCACAAGCGGUGGAGCAUGUGGUUUAAUUCGACAAUAAGCGAGGAACCUCACCAGGGCUAGAUAUCCAACUGCAUAUUUUGAGAAAUCAAAAUAGCCUUCGAGGGUGUUGGACAGGUGUUGCAUGGUUGUCGUCAGCUCGUGCCGUAAGGUGUUCCAUUAAGUUGGGUAACGAGCGCAACCCCUACUGUGUGUUACAAGUGUCACACGGAACUGCCCGCCACACCUAUUCGAAGCGAAAGCUUUGUUGCAGAAGCGACAAAGCAAUUGCCUUGAAUAGAAUAUUCAAACAAUAAGUUUGGGAUAGGUGUGGCGGGAGGAAGGUGGGGAUGACGUCAAAUCAGCAUGGCCCUCGACGCCCUGGGCGACACACGUGCUACAAUGGCCGGUACAACGGGUUGCGAAACCGCAAGGUUGAGCUAAUCUCUAAAAACCGGUCCCAGUUCGGAUUGGAGUCUGCAACUCGACUCCAUGAAGUCGGAAUCGCUAGUAAUCCCGAAUCAGCCAUAUCGGGGUGAAUACGUUCCCGGAUCUUGUACUCACCGCCCGUCACACCAAGGGAGCUGGUAGUGCCUGAAGACCCAGCCCUAAGAAGUCGUAACAAGGCAUCCGUAGCGGAAGCUGUGGAUGGAUCACCUCCU